This 497-nucleotide ribosomal RNA is filed under the name uncultured bacterium. RNAcentral's name for it is "partial 16S ribosomal RNA". It matches the Rfam family "Bacterial small subunit ribosomal RNA", at positions 28 to 507 of the family's 1533-position model. The record is from RNAcentral.
GAUGAACGCUGGCGGCGUGCCUAAUACAUGCAAGUCGAGCGAACAGACGAGGAGCUUGCUCCUCUGACGUUAGCGGCGGACGGGUGAGUAACACGUGGAUAACCUACCUAUAAGACUGGGAUAACUUCGGGAAACCGGAGCUAAUACCGGAUAAUAUAUUGAACCGCAUGGUUCAAUAGUGAAAGACGGUUUUGCUGUCACUUAUAGAUGGAUCCGCGCCGCAUUAGCUAGUUGGUAAGGUAACGGCUUACCAAGGCAACGAUGCGUAGCCGACCUGAGAGGGUGAGCGGCCACACGGGAACUGAGACACGGUCCAGACUACAGCGGGAGGCAGCAGUAGGGAAUCGUCCGCAAUGGGCGAAAGCCUGACGGAGCAACGCCGCGGGAGUGAUGAAGGUUUUCGGAUCGUAAACCUCUGUUAUUAGGGAAGAACAAAUGUGUAAGUAACUAUGCACGUCUUGACGGUACCUAAUCAGAAAGCCACGGCUAACUACGUG